AACGAACGCUGGCGGCAGGCCUAACACAUGCAAGUCGAGCGCGCCCUUCGGGGUGAGCGGCGGACGGGUGAGUAACGCGUGGGAACGUGCCCUUCUCUGCGGAAUAGCCUCGGGAAACUGAGAGUAAUACCGCAUACGCCCUUUGGGGGAAAGAUUUAUCGGAGAAGGAUCGGCCCGCGUUGGAUUAGGUAGUUGGUGGGGUAAUGGCCCACCAAGCCGACGAUCCAUAGCUGGUUUGAGAGGAUGAUCAGCCACACUGGGACUGAGACACGGCCCAGACUCCUACGGGAGGCAGCAGUGGGGAAUCUUAGACAAUGGGGGCAACCCUGAUCGAGCCAUGCCGCGUGAGUGAUGAAGGCCUUAGGGUUGUAAAGCUCUUUCAGCUGGGAAGAUAAUGACGGUACCAGAAGAAGAAGCCCCGGCUAACUCCGUG
Molecule: ribosomal RNA, 433 nt
Filed under: uncultured bacterium
Lineage: Bacteria
Description: partial 16S ribosomal RNA
Rfam family: Bacterial small subunit ribosomal RNA
Source: RNAcentral